GGACAUCCUUAACUAGCUGGUUAUUUACAGAGGAACCCUCAUCCUUUCAAUUGAAAACAAAUUUUGGCUCAUGAACUCAUCUGAAUCUUUUGAAGUCUUUCAUUCCAGCGUCCAAUAAUAGAUGCUCCAUUUUUUCCUUUCUCAUCAUUUAAGUAGAUGAUUCAAUAGUUCAUCAUGAGAUGAUUUUCCAUUUUAGUUUAGUGAGCCAUUAACUAAAUUAAAGAGUGGAGUAUAUUUUUUUUUAAAGCUAAUUGGGCCAGGCCUUAUUAGCCCAGCCGAGGCAUUUCUCGGCUUACCAGAGCAGGGCGGCCAGUUGAGCAAAUUUCAGGCCUUUUUCAGCCCAGCCUGGCCCUGUCCGAUAACACUAUAUAUACAUAAUGGCCG
This 384-nucleotide long non-coding RNA is filed under the name Amborella trichopoda. Its description in RNAcentral is "long non-coding RNA (ATRI_LNC003361)". Lineage: Eukaryota; Viridiplantae; Streptophyta; Magnoliopsida; Amborellales; Amborellaceae. The record is from RNAcentral.